GCAGCUGCCUCUGCUUGAGCAAGCUCCCUAUCUCUGCAGGGCUCCCUUCUGCCUCCAGUGAACAGUGAUAAUAUCACUUUCCUGCCUCCCAAGAUUGCUAAGAACUGAAGCUCUGGGCUCCUCUGAGGAAGCAAAGAAGUUGAACAUUUGAGAUGAGUACCCCAAAAACCUCAUGGGAUCUACACCACAUUCUUGAAACCUCAUCUUCAGGCUGGUUAAUCCACGUUUGUCCCUAAGCUGUUUGGGACUCUCCAUGCUGCUCGGAGUCCCU
Molecule: long non-coding RNA, 271 nt
Organism: Ficedula albicollis (Collared flycatcher)
Lineage: Eukaryota; Metazoa; Chordata; Aves; Passeriformes; Muscicapidae
Exons: 3
Source: RefSeq, a predicted model, not a curated record